RNAcentral lists this ribosomal RNA (254 nucleotides) under uncultured bacterium. RNAcentral describes it as "partial 16S ribosomal RNA". It matches the Rfam family "Bacterial small subunit ribosomal RNA", at positions 524 to 776 of the family's 1533-position model. The record is from RNAcentral.
UACGGAGGGUGCGAGCGUUGUCCGGAAUCACUGGGCGUAAAGGGCGCGUAGGCGGCUGGGGAAGUCGGCGGUGAAAGUCCGGGGCUCAACUCCGGAUCUGCGGUGGGUACGGGCAGACUAGAGUGAUGUAGGGGAGACUGGAAUUCCUGGUGUAGCGGUGAAAUGCGCAGAUAUCAGGAGGAACACCAGAGUGGAAGGCAGGAUCUCUGGGCCGUAACUGACGCUGAGGAGCGAAAGCAUGGGGAGCGAACAGG